RNAcentral lists this ribosomal RNA (468 nucleotides) under uncultured bacterium. Its description in RNAcentral is "partial 16S ribosomal RNA". It matches the Rfam family "Bacterial small subunit ribosomal RNA", at positions 28 to 507 of the family's 1533-position model. The record is from RNAcentral.
GACGAACGCUGGCGGCGUGCUUAACACAUGCAAGUCGAACGGAAAGGCCCUGCUUUUGUGGGGUGCUCGAGUGGCGAACGGGUGAGUAACACGUGAGUAACCUGCCCUUGACUUUGGGAUAACUUCAGGAAACUGGGGCUAAUACCGGAUAGGAGCUCCUGCUGCAUGGUGGGGGUUGGAAAGUUUCGGCGGUUGGGGAUGGACUCGCGGCUUAUCAGCUUGUUGGUGGGGUAGUGGCUUACCAAGGCUUUGACGGGUAGCCGGCAUGAGAGGGUGACCGGCCACAAGGGGACUGAGAUACGGCCCAGACUCCUACGGGAGGCAGCAGUGGGGAAUAUUGCACAAUGGGCGGAAGCCUGAUGCAGCAACGCCGCGUGCGGGAUGACGGCCUUCGGGUUGUAAACCGCUUUCGCCUGUGACGAAGCGUGAGUGACGGUAAUGGGUAAAGAAGCACCGGCUAACUACGUG